RNAcentral lists this ribosomal RNA (362 nucleotides) under uncultured bacterium. Its description in RNAcentral is "partial 16S ribosomal RNA". The record is from RNAcentral.
UAAAAGAAGUUUACAAUACAUAAUACCGUCGUCCUUCACGCGAUUUGGCUGGUUCAGGCUCUCGCCCAUUGACCAAUAUUCCUCACUGCUGCCUCCCGUAGGAGUCUGGUCCGUGUCUCAGUACCAGUGUGGGGGAUAAACCUCUCAGUUCCCCUAUCCAUCGAUGGCUUGGUAGGCCGUUACCCAUACCAACUACCUAAUGGAGCGCAUGCCCAUCCAUAACCAAUAAAUCUUUAGCAAAUAUUACCAUGUGGUAUCCCUGCUUUAUGCGGUAUUAAUUCGCCUUUCGACGAGCUAUCCCCCAGUUAUGGGUAGGUUGCAUACGUGUUACUCACCCGUGCGCCGGUCGCCACCACCCGAAA